AAAAUACUUAUAGGCUUCGAAAUGAAAAUGAGAUUUAUUAGUCUAUAGUUGUUGUGAUUAUUUGAAUUAUGAAUACAUUUUUACUACAUAUACAUGAGGUUUCCUUUUCAUUGCAGAAAGACCAAAAAGCAGCAAAAGAAAUAGGUGCCUUUUCAAAAGAAAUCAACUCUUUAACAGUGAGUAUGAUAAUAAGUAGUUUGUACAUGUAGUAGUACUGAAGGGUAAUAGUCAUUUUGUAUCUACAGACUUAUGUUGCUUGGAGACCAUAAGCAUGAGGGUGGCAGCAGAUACCUUUUGAAUUUCAAAAAAAAAGCUUUUAUCUUUAUCAAAUUGCAUCUCAUGGAUACUUACUGGUAGAUUUCAAUGGUUGGUGACAAAACUGAUCUCAGUCAAGAGGAAAACAAUAUCCUUAAGUGAGAUUUAAGGGAACAGAAUGUUUAUACUGCAAAGAAUACAUGUGUCAAACAAAAAGAACAGAUCAUGUUAUCACAGUAAAUGCACAAGUUCUUUGUAACAUUGGUAAAAGUAAAACUGCAUCAUUUGUUUGCCCAAAACAAUUUCACCUUAAAGAAUAUAAAAUUUUAACAACUAAAUACCUGUCUUAUUAUUUCUUUGCAUUUGAACAGAAUAUUACCAGUAUGUCAAACUAAAAAUUGAUAAAGUUGAUCAGGGCUGUUUGAAUUCCAGAUUUCUUUUUUUUUUUUCAAUUUUGAUGGCAUAGAAACAUUAUUAAAGAAAUAAUUUGUGACUUGUCAUUCUUGAGUGUGAGCUUUGCUGUUUACUUUGAAAUUGUUGUCAACUGUUGAUUGAUUGAUUUAUUUACGGUUACUUUACCUUACAUGUGAGGAAACAGUCUUUGUUGUGGCAAACAAAAUUUGAUAAUAUUUAAAUGACUGCUUAAGUAUGGAGGAGAAUAGAUUCUAAGUAUAGUCCUAUUGUAACAUUCAAAUGGAGGAAAAUAAGGAGAUGUGGUUUGAUUGCCAAACAUAAACAUAUGUUUUACUGUUUAAAACAUGAAAUGCAGAUGUGUAUACUAAGUAUUUCCUUAAAAACACGUCUACACAUUUAAAACAUUUGAAAAUAUUUUUUUUAUAAUUUCAGAACAUGCUUUCAAGUUGACAAGUUCCUGGAAAAUGUUGCCCAUCAUCGAAUGUGUGAUUGUGAACUUUAUUGUUUUAUCCAAUCAAAAUGCUCCAAGCCAAACAGGAACUGUCUCAGGGGAGCGAACUAACUGUGGUUGUUUUUACAAAUGGUUGUUGAUUGUUAUUAAUUUGUACAGUUAAUAUGUACAGAUAAUCUGUGAAUAGAUUAUUAAACUUUGUAUAUAUGUAUAAAAAAAAAUCAGCAUUUUCUCAAUUUUUGCUUGUUCUUUUUAUCAGCUUAGUGCUAAAAAUGCUAAGUUUUAUUAUUGAUAACUUUUAAAUGUAUGUAAAUCUAUGAUUUACUUUUUAAUGCUUUGGUGACUGAAGCAUUUACUUUAUUAAUCUGAGAUUUAUAUUUUAAAUGAUUAAGGCUGUUAUAUUUUGAUCAAUUCUGACUUUUUUUAGGAUUGAUUUUAAAUGGAUAUGAUUUUUGUAAAAGGGUUGUCAUUUUUAUCAGAUCUGUUAGUUUCAUCAAAUAACAAAAUAAUCCAUCUGUUACCCCUCGCAUCCCUCAUAAUCCUUUGUCAUGUGAUAAAAAUGUAAAUAGGUUUGUCCAAUACCAAGCCUGCUUUUCACAAAAAAAUCUAACAUAUGAAAAUUGGAUCCUAUCUGUGAACAAUCAAUGAUUUAGUUUUAGUUUUAAAUUUUAUUUUUUCUACACAUGGGCCAGGUCUUAAAUUUUUAGAAAGAUAUCUUUGAGGUGAUGACUGUGUUGGCUAUUUGCAGUUCAAUUUUAAUUGGUCUAAAAUUAAAUAAUUUAUUGUUUUGUAACACUGGUAUACACCUUUUCUAAAGAGUAACUUUCAGUUGUAAAUUUUAAUCUUUUUAUCAUCAUGUUUAAUUUGUCAUGAAAUGACUUUUUUAUCAUGUUUGUCAGUUAUUAUAUUUUUGUAAAUUAAUAAAUCAUGCCCAAACUAGAAUUCAGACAUUUUACUUCAUUUCAUCAGCAUGUGGACAAAAGUUACUAUUUUUAUAUGUCAAACUCCGUCCCAUACAUGUACUGUAAUUCGACACAUUUUGAAGUUUUCUACUUAAAACUUAGAUGAUUAGUUUAAUCAGAGAGGACGACAAGAUAACUAGAGAAUAAACUUUUAAAAAAAUUGAUAUAUUUCUGAGUAUAUUAACAAAUUAAAAAAGUUUGUAUAACUUUUUGUAGGAAAAAUGAAAGAUAUGUAUGGGAGUGCAGUUAAUGGUUAAUAUAUUAUUCAACUACAUGAUAAUAUUUUGACUGUGACUUGAUUGUAUAAAGGGAUUGCAUUGUGGGAUGUUUGCUUCUCUGUUCUAAAAUUACCAGCUUUUUAAAAGACUUAAAAUCUUAAAGUUUAGAUAUGAUGAAACCAAAAAAUGCAAGGUCUGUGUCUUUGAUGUUGAGAUGAAACCAAACAAAAGUUUGACAGGAAAUUAUUCUUUCUGGAGUUUCAUACUUUUAACAUUCUCUUCCAAAAACUGGAAUAAAAAAAAUGACAAAAAUUACUUUAAAUUAUAAGAAAUGAAUUUUUUGAAAGAAAACCAGGGUAUAUAGGGGGAAAAAUUAUUGAUGGCACCACAAUUGUAUAACCAGACGAUUCUGAGAAAAAAAAGAUACAAAAGUCCACAACGAGAGAAGCAAACAUCAAAUGGUGACAGAAAUGUGUACAUUUAUAAGUAUUACGUAAGAUUUGCUUUAUGGCUGUGACUAUUAAAUGGUUGUAUAUGAGGGUUUGAAAGUGUUUUUUUUUUUCAUUUUGCAUGGUUAAAUGCAGCACUAACAUGUACAAAAAUAAUCCGCUAAAAAUAAUGAAAA
RNAcentral lists this long non-coding RNA (2925 nucleotides) under Mytilus galloprovincialis (Mediterranean mussel). Lineage: Eukaryota; Metazoa; Mollusca; Bivalvia; Mytilida; Mytilidae. The record is from RNAcentral.